Schistocerca piceifrons (Central American locust) is the source of this 955-nucleotide long non-coding RNA. RefSeq lists it as uncharacterized. The transcript has 2 exons. Lineage: Eukaryota; Metazoa; Arthropoda; Insecta; Orthoptera; Acrididae. The record is from RefSeq and is a predicted model, not a curated record.
GAAUCCCAUAUUUGACGCUGUUGAAAUUAUGCUUUUUUUUUAAACGACUAUAACGUAAAAUAGUGUGUAAAAUUACUACGACAUUGUGGUAACGUAAUAUGAAAGUCGUACAGUUCUGAAGUAUUCAGUGUUUGUUCAAAAAACUGUAAUCAUAUGUUCGAUGGUUUGCGAUCACUUUCGUGUGGCCAAAAAUGUGAAUAACACCUUUUAAAAAAUGCAGAUGGGUCUCUAUUUUUGCAAAUAUGCCAAAAUUGUGGAUGUCAAAGAGAUGUUCCGUUGGUUAUAAUUGACCAAGCCAUUAAACUUCAAUCAAAAGUCAAGUGCUUCCGGGCGGCAAACGGAACGUGACAGGUCUGCAUUGCAGUAGUAUCAUUAGAACACAAAAAUAAAUCAUAUUUCAGUUUCAUCUGUGCAACUGGACUUUCAGGGCAACAACAUAUUACAACUUGCAGACUAAUCAGCUAACGCAGUGACCCAUUUGCGAGUGAAGUUAUUUGACUUGAUUCGGAGUCCACUUCUCCUGUGCUAUUAGAAAUUGUGUGUCUUCCCAACUUUCUAAUGAUAUUGAGAACAAAACUGGGGGUACUAAUUGCUGCAUCAGCAAAAAUGCACAUAAACACACAAAUUGUGUAUAUUAUGUAAGUACUAGUUUAUUUAGGAUUUCAUUAUGUGAAAACAUUUUUUUAAUGAACUGUGAAAAGAUUUUCCUCCAACUAUCACAUUCACUGUUACAUUAUGAAUGUUGAAUAUAUCGUUGACCAAAAACUUUACAGUUCUUAGAUAAUAGAAAUUGUUAAAAUUGAGUGUCAUCAAAAGUAGUCAGAUAUUUCUUUACUAAUAAUCUGCUGAGUAGGAGUGUAAGAUAUCAGUUAGUCAGUUCUGUUCUUUAUUUUUGUAUUCCAUAGCUUUUUUCUCCCCCAUAUAUAUUAAAUUUGGAGAAAGUGUAGACUAUAUU